CCUACGGGCGGCAGCAGUGGGGAAUAUUGCACAAUGGAGGGAACUCUGAUGCAGCGACGCCGCGUGAGUGAAGAAGUAAUUCGUAAUGUAAAGCUCUAUUAGUAGGGAAGAAAGUGACGGUAUCUGAAAAAUAAGCACCGGCUAACUACGUGCCAGCAGCCGCGGUAAUACGUAUGGAGCAAGCGUUAUCCGGAUUUACUGGGGGUAAAGGGAGAGUAGGUGGCAGAGCAAGUCCGAAGUGAAAACCCAAAGCUUAACCAUGGAAAUGCUUUAGAAACUGCUAAUCUAGAGUACAGGAGAGGCAAGUGGAAUUCUUGGUGUAGCGGUGAAAUGCGUAGAUAUUAAGAGGAACACCAAUGGCGAAGGCGGCUUGCUAGACUGUAACUGACACUGAGGCUCGAAAGCGUGGGGAGCAAACAGGAUUAGAUACCCCUGUAGUC
Molecule: ribosomal RNA, 440 nt
Filed under: uncultured bacterium
Lineage: Bacteria
Description: partial 16S ribosomal RNA
Rfam family: Bacterial small subunit ribosomal RNA
Source: RNAcentral